This 45-nucleotide non-coding RNA is filed under the name Schistosoma mattheei. The record is from RNAcentral. Lineage: Eukaryota; Metazoa; Platyhelminthes; Trematoda; Strigeidida; Schistosomatidae.
AGCCAGCUAAAGAGUCCCAAAUAGGAUGAAACGCAUGUCCUAGAU